This is a long non-coding RNA of Drosophila ananassae, 648 nucleotides long. RefSeq lists it as uncharacterized. The transcript has 2 exons. Lineage: Eukaryota; Metazoa; Arthropoda; Insecta; Diptera; Drosophilidae. The record is from RefSeq and is a predicted model, not a curated record.
UACCACAAAAUGCGCCACCACCACCGCCAAAGCCCCCGAUGAAGCCACCCCCGAGAAGGAAGAAGUGGGUGCCACAAACUCACGUGGAUGGCAGUGGUCGACGGUGCCCAACCAGUGCCACCACUGCUAUCGAAAACUGCACAGGCCAUCUAUUUUGGAGAACCAUCUGAAGGUGUGCCUGACACAGGCAAAGAGUGGUGCAUGUUUGUGGUGCCCAUAUAUUGGCAAGGCAAAUGUGGGAACGCACCACCUCAGUUGCCAAGGAGAGCCUGGGCAUCUGUACGUGCCAGUGGGGGAGCAGCGGCUGCAGCGCGACAGGUGGGCGGAAGCUAUAAGGCAAUCAACAUCCGCUUCACAGAGGGAUGAAGCGCCCACGCAGUCGUCGCCCCCUCCUUCAACGACAUCACCGUCAACAGGAUCUCCAUCACCGAAACGAGAACCGAUACAGGUUCAGUUAUCGGAACUUUUUAACAUUGAUGGAGAUUUAUUUGAUCAUUCUUCAAACAAUUUGGCCAAAGUAACUUGUACUAUUGUCCAAAACUGGUCGAUUUAAUUUUAACUAAAUAUGUUUUUGCUCCAUAUUGGACAAAUUUAAUGGGUAUUUUUAUUGAUACCUUCAAUAAAAGAGUGAGUAAUGGGCCCAUUGAA